This 72-nucleotide transfer RNA is filed under the name Bos taurus (domestic cattle). It matches the Rfam family "tRNA". Rfam says of the family: Transfer RNA (tRNA) molecules are approximately 80 nucleotides in length. Their secondary structure includes four short double-helical elements and three loops (D, anti-codon, and T loops). RNAcentral also lists the same sequence under 1 other name. Lineage: Eukaryota; Metazoa; Chordata; Mammalia; Artiodactyla; Bovidae. The record is from Rfam by way of RNAcentral.
UCCUUGGUGGCUCAAUUGGUAAAGAAUCUGCCUGCAAUGCAGGAGAAUCAGGUUCGAUCCCUGGGUCAGGAA